RNAcentral lists this ribosomal RNA (253 nucleotides) under uncultured bacterium. RNAcentral describes it as "partial 16S ribosomal RNA". It matches the Rfam family "Bacterial small subunit ribosomal RNA", at positions 524 to 776 of the family's 1533-position model. The record is from RNAcentral.
GACGGAGGGUGCAAGCGUUGCUCGGAAUCACUGGGCGUAAAGGGUGCGUAGGCGGUCUCGCAAGUCUGGCGUGAAAGCCCAAGGCUCAGCCUUGGAAGUGCGCUCGAAACUGCGAGGCUGGAGUGCCGGAGGGGAGAGUGGAACUGCGAGUGUAGAGGUGAAAUUCGUAGAUAUUCGCAAGAACACCAGUGGCGAAGGCGGCUCACUGGCCCGGUACUGACGCUGAGGCACGAAAGCGUGGGGAGCAAACAGG